Molecule: long non-coding RNA, 822 nt
Filed under: Equus caballus (horse)
Lineage: Eukaryota; Metazoa; Chordata; Mammalia; Perissodactyla; Equidae
Description: lncRNA (ENSECAG00000060349.1)
Source: RNAcentral
GAGCAAGAAAGGAGCCAAAAGAAACAUUCCAUUCUGGAUAAUUCAGAACAGGUACAGCAGAGAAUACUACAGAGUUAAAUAGCCAAAAUGGCCCUAAGGAGAAAAAUUUUAUAUGUAUAUAUUGUUUUUGAGUUAGACAGAAAGGAUUUGGUUCGUUGCCCUCAGGAUAAGGUCACAGUUUGAGUCAACCAACUGAUAAUGCCAGGAAAGCAUUUUAAAGAAGCACAAACAGUGUUGACUCCAAGGGCACAUUUAAUAAACAUCCUGCCCACUAAACUCUGUCUCAGAGCCUGCUUCCAGGACAACCCAAAGUGCAAGAGGAGAGUAUGGAAAUGAAGAAAUAGUUGGAAUUCAAGGUUCAAAAUGACCUGUCUCCUGUAUACCACUUUGUGAUGCUGAGGCCGAGACUCUGUGAACCAUGUUUCUCCUUUGCCAGCUUCUCCCUAUAUUGACUUUGCCAAUGGAGGACUCUAGAAGAAAACUAGAAGUCUGGGGAAGAAAGAAAAGUCACUGCUUCUUCCUAUUUACUUCCUGCGCCGUCAGCAUUAAUCUGGGAAUGCUUCUUCGCCCCAGCAGUGGUGAUUCAUGUAGUAGUUGUAGUAGAUUCCAGAAUACAAUUUUUCCCACACUCCCAGAACAAGCUCAUCAUGCUCCCUUUGAGCUCGAAGACACCAGUACCAGCCAAGCAGCCCCUACCUCCUCGGAUGUCUAAGUCUAAGCCCCAUGGGCCCCUUCUCCAAGCCCUAAGUUUUAAAAAUUGCAACUUUUUCCUAUGUUCUUUCAUCUUUAGGGGUGGUGGUCCUUAGUGUCUCCUCCCCUGGG